This 495-nucleotide ribosomal RNA is filed under the name uncultured bacterium. RNAcentral's name for it is "partial 16S ribosomal RNA". It matches the Rfam family "Bacterial small subunit ribosomal RNA", at positions 28 to 506 of the family's 1533-position model. The record is from RNAcentral.
GAUGAACGCUGGCGGCGUGCCUAAUACAUGCAAGUCGAGCGAACGGACGAGAAGCUUGCUUCUCUGAUGUUAGCGGCGGACGGGUGAGUAACACGUGGAUAACCUACCUAUAAGACUGGGAUAACUUCGGGAAACCGGGGCUAAUACCGGAUAAUAUUUUGAACCGCAUGGUUCAAAAGUGAAAGGCGGUCUUGCUGUCACUUAUAGAUGGAUCCGCGCUGCAUUAGCUAGUUGGUAAGGUAACGGCUUACCAAGGCAACGAUGCAUAGCCGACCUGAGAGGGUGAUCGGCCACACUGGAACUGAGACACGGUCCAGACUCCUACGGGAGGCAGCAGUAGGGAAUCUCCGCAAUGGGCGAAAGCCUGACGGAGCAACGCCGCGUGAGUGAUGAAGGUCUUCGGAUCGUAAAACUCUGUUAUUAGGGAAGAACAUAUGUGUAAGUAACUGUGCACAUCUUGACGGUACCUAAUCAGAAAGCCACGGCUAACUACGU